This 114-nucleotide ribosomal RNA is filed under the name Danio rerio (zebrafish). The record is from RNAcentral. Lineage: Eukaryota; Metazoa; Chordata; Actinopteri; Cypriniformes; Danionidae.
ACCACAGCCAUAUGAGACACAGCCCAAGACUGGUUACUCACUGAAGCUAAUUGGGUUGAGCCUGGUCAGUACCUGGAUGGGAGACCACUUGGGAAAACUAGGUUGCUGUUGGUA